RNAcentral lists this ribosomal RNA (257 nucleotides) under uncultured bacterium. RNAcentral describes it as "partial 16S ribosomal RNA". It matches the Rfam family "Bacterial small subunit ribosomal RNA", at positions 524 to 776 of the family's 1533-position model. The record is from RNAcentral.
UACAGAGACCUCAAGCGUUAUCCGGAAUCAUUGGGCGUAAAGCGUGCCGAUAGGUGGUUUAUUUAGUCUUGGGUAAAAGCCAGAAGCUCAACUUCUGAGUUUGCUUAAGAUACUAAUAGACUAGAGGGGCAAAGAGGUGCUUGGAACGAAUGGUGUAGUAGUGAAAUGCGUUGAUAUCAUUCGGAACACCGAAAGCGAAGGCAGAGCACUGGUUGCCUCCUGACACUGCUAGGACGAAAGCGUGGGUAGCGAAUGGG